AUUGAACGCUGGCGGCAGGCUUAACACAUGCAAGUCGAGCGGGGGAAGGUAGCUUGCUACCGGACCUAGCGGCGGACGGGUGAGUAAUGCUUAGGAAUCUGCCUAUUAGUGGGGGACAACAUCUCGAAAGGGAUGCUAAUACCGCAUACGUCCUACGGGAGAAAGCAGGGGAUCUUCGGACCUUGCGCUAAUAGAUGAGCCUAAGUCGGAUUAGCUAGUUGGUGGGGUAAAGGCCUACCAAGGCGACGAUCUGUAGCGGGUCUGAGAGGAUGAUCCGCCACACUGGGACUGAGACACGGCCCAGACUCCUACGGGAGGCAGCAGUGGGGAAUAUUGGACAAUGGGGGGAACCCUGAUCCAGCCAUGCCGCGGGUGUGAAGAAGGCCUUAUGGUUGUAAAGCACGUUAAGCGAGGAGGAGGCUACUUUAGUUAAUACCUAGAGAUAGUGGACGUUACUCGCAGAAUAAGCACCGGCUAACUCGGUG
This 485-nucleotide ribosomal RNA is filed under the name uncultured bacterium. RNAcentral's name for it is "partial 16S ribosomal RNA". It matches the Rfam family "Bacterial small subunit ribosomal RNA", at positions 30 to 507 of the family's 1533-position model. The record is from RNAcentral.